Molecule: ribosomal RNA, 253 nt
Filed under: uncultured bacterium
Lineage: Bacteria
Description: partial 16S ribosomal RNA
Rfam family: Bacterial small subunit ribosomal RNA
Source: RNAcentral
GACAGAGGUGCCAAGCGUUAGGCGGAAUCACUGGGCGUAAAGGGCGCGUAGGCGGCCUUCUAAGUCGAACGUGAAAUCCCCGGGCUCAACCCGGGAACUGCGUCCGAUACUGGAAGGCUUGAAUCCGGGAGAGGGAUGCGGAAUUCCAGGUGUAGCGGUGAAAUGCGUAGAUAUCUGGAGGAACACCGGUGGCGAAGGCGGCAUCCUGGACCGGCAUUGACGCUGAGGCGCGAAAGCCAGGGGAGCAAACGGG